AACCCCAUUCAGCUUCCCAGAUUUGUCCAGUUAAUAGCUCUAGAUUUUAUUUGUGUUUUUUUUUUUUUUGUAAAUUCUUGGGAAUGUUGAAGUCUUUCUUGUAGCAAAAAGCACUGACUGCAUUGAAUCUGUUUUACAACCGAACUAAAUAGUUUUCUGAAAGCCAAUUAGCUGUCGGACUUAACCAUCACAGUACCUUUUUCCGUGAAGCAGUUCAACUAAACCUCCUGUCAAAAUGUGCUGCGGACCUUGCUACUCGUGCUGCGGACCCUGCGGAGGAUGCUGCGGACCUUGCGGACCCUGCAGUGGCUGUUGUGGACCUUGCGGACCCUGUGGUGGCUGUUGUGGACCUUGCGGAGGAUGCUGCGGACCUUGCGGACCCUGUUGUGGUGGCUGUGGUCCCUGCUGUUAGAAACAUCUUCAGAACGAAAC
Drosophila novamexicana is the source of this 432-nucleotide long non-coding RNA. RefSeq lists it as uncharacterized. The transcript has 3 exons. NCBI's taxonomy places the organism in Eukaryota, Metazoa, Arthropoda, Insecta, Diptera, Drosophilidae. The record is from RefSeq and is a predicted model, not a curated record.